This 614-nucleotide ribosomal RNA is filed under the name uncultured bacterium. RNAcentral's name for it is "bacterial SSU rRNA". It matches the Rfam family "Bacterial small subunit ribosomal RNA", at positions 338 to 943 of the family's 1533-position model. The record is from RNAcentral.
CCUACGGGAGGCAGCAGUGGGGAAUUUUGGACAAUGGGCGAAAGCCUGAUCCAGCAAUGCCGCGUGAGUGAAGAAGGCCUUCGGGUUGUAAAGCUCUUUUGUCAGGGAAGAAACGGUGAAAGCUAAUAUCUUUUGCUAAUGACGGUACCUGAAGAAUAAGCACCGGCUAACUACGUGCCAGCAGCCGCGGUAAUACGUAGGGUGCAAGCGUUAAUCGGAAUUACUGGGCGUAAAGCGUGCGCAGGCGGUUUUGUAAGUCUGAUGUGAAAUCCCCGGGCUCAACCUGGGAAUUGCAUUGGAGACUGCAAGGCUAGAAUCUGGCAGAGGGGGGUAGAAUUCCACGUGUAGCAGUGAAAUGCGUAGAUAUGUGGAGGAACACCGAUGGCGAAGGCAGCCCCCUGGGUCAAGAUUGACGCUCAUGCACGAAAGCGUGGGGAGCAAACAGGAUUAGAUACCCUGGUAGUCCACGCCCUAAACGAUGUCUACUAGUUGUCGGGUCUUAAUUGACUUGGUAACGCAGCUAACGCGUGAAGUAGACCGCCUGGGGAUACGGUCGCAAGNUUAAAACNAAAUAGAGUAGAGCGNGAGAGAGCGAGGACGACACGAGGGAGGAG